RNAcentral lists this small nuclear RNA (190 nucleotides) under Chelonoidis abingdonii (Abingdon island giant tortoise). RNAcentral's name for it is "U2 spliceosomal RNA (ENSCABG00000013517.1)". It matches the Rfam family "U2 spliceosomal RNA". From Rfam's summary of the family: U2 is a small nuclear RNA (snRNA) component of the spliceosome (involved in pre-mRNA splicing). Complementary binding between U2 snRNA (in an area lying towards the 5' end but 3' to hairpin I) and the branchpoint sequence (BPS) of the intron results the bulging out of an unpaired adenosine, on the BPS, which initiates a nucleophilic attack at the intronic 5' splice site, thus starting the first of two transesterification reactions that mediate splicing. The record is from Rfam by way of RNAcentral. Lineage: Eukaryota; Metazoa; Chordata; Testudines; Testudinidae.
UUAAUUUUAAACAUUAACUUUAAUCAGUUUUUUAAAAUCUGUUCUUGUCAGUUUAAUCGCUGACAUGUCCUUUCUGUGAGGACUGUGUAAUGAAUUGAUUUUGGGAACAGGGGGCUGGGUUAGGAGCUUGCUCCAUCCGCCUCGUGCAUGGACCUGGUAUUGCAGUGCCGCCGGGAAUGGUGCGUCUCCU